UGCCAGUCGAACGGAAACAUGUCUAGCUUGCUAGAUGAUGUCGAGUGGCGGACGGGUGAGUAAUGCUUGGGAACUUGCCUUUGCGAGGGGGAUAACAGUUGGAAACGACUGCUAAUACCGCAUAAUGUCUUCGGACCAAACGGGGCUUCGGCUCCGGCGCAAAGAGAGGCCCAAGUGAGAUUAGCUAGUUGGUGAGGUAAAGGCUCACCAAGGCAACGAUCUCUAGCUGUUCUGAGAGGAAGAUCAGCCACACUGGGACUGAGACACGGCCCAGACUCCUACGGGAGGCAGCAGUGGGGAAUAUUGCACAAUGGGGGAAACCCUGAUGCAGCCAUGCCGCGUGUGUGAAGAAGGCCUUCGGGUUGUAAAGCACUUUCAGUUGUGAGGAAAAGUUAGUAGUUAAUACCUGCUAGCCGUGACGUUAACAACAGAAGAAGCACCGGCUAACUCCGUGCCAGCAGCCGCGGUAAUACGGAGGGUGCGAGCGUUAAUCGGAAUUACUGGGCGUAAAGCGCACGCAGGCGGUUUGUUAAGCUAGAUGUGAAAGCCCCGGGCUCAACCUGGGACGGUCAUUUAGAACUGGCAGACUAGAGUCUUGGAGAGGGGAGUGGAAUUCCAGGUGUAGCGGUGAAAUGCGUAGAUAUCUGGAGGAACAUCAGUGGCGAAGGCGACUCCCUGGCCAAAGACUGACGCUCAUGUGCGAAAGUGUGGGUAGCGAACAGGAUUAGAUACCCUGGUAGUCCACACCGUAAACGCUGUCUACUAGCUGUUUGUGACUUUAAGUCGUGAGUAGCGAAGCUAACGCGAUAAGUAGACCGCCUGGGGAGUACGGCCGCAAGGUUAAAACUCAAAUGAAUUGACGGGGGCCCGCACAAGCGGUGGAGCAUGUGGUUUAAUUCGAUGCAACGCGAAGAACCUUACCUACACUUGACAUGUUGAGAAGUACCAGAGAUGGUUUCGUGCCUUCGGA
Molecule: ribosomal RNA, 970 nt
Filed under: Alteromonas sp.
Lineage: Bacteria; Pseudomonadati; Pseudomonadota; Gammaproteobacteria; Alteromonadales; Alteromonadaceae
Description: bacterial SSU rRNA
Rfam family: Bacterial small subunit ribosomal RNA
Source: RNAcentral